GGGCUUGCAACCGUCACUUGUGUCUUGAGCAGUUAAAAGAUAGAACGGUCAAGUCAAGCGCCAUGUCUCUUGUUCUUGAUCAACUAUAGCUCUGGAGUUUUUUUUGCAGAUUUUCAAAUAAAACCUAGAGAUUCCUUUGAAUGACUCUCUCAAAUCUCUCUUUUGUGGUAUUUCUAGAUCCUUACCAAGGAAGUGAUGGUAUAUGCCUUCUCUCAAAGCAUUUGGUAUUUGUGGUAUGAGGCAUAGUGACAUUGCCUUCUCUCUCAUCCUACUCUAAUAAGGCUUGAUAUCUGGAGCUCAUAGGUGGGAGAUAGCUAAUACAUACUUACAAGACAUUUAUUGCAUAGUCAAACCAUGGAUCCAGAGAAACAAGUCAAUAAGUCAAAUCAAGAUGUGCAUGUGUGGCGAAUGAAUGGUGUAUGGUGAUAAUGGUGAUAAUGGUGAAAACAAUGGUGAAAGUCUAAUUCUACUUUUGCUCUUUUGAGGGGAUACAUACCUUUCUUGCACUUUGAAGCUUUUUUGAGGAGAAUGAGAUGCUCUAUAUUUUUUUUCUUUUCUCUUAGGUGGGUAUCUUGUACCCCUAAUUCUACUGUCGGACACUUGUCCAUUUUUACCUCUCGUCUCACUUUUUCUUUUUCUUCGAGGUUCCGGGCACUUGCCCCUUUUUAUUUCCUCGUAUUCACUUUUUUUCAGAGCACUCACCCUCCUGGAAUAAUGUAGCAAGUGGUAGUAACCAAAAUAUCUCGAGCAUUUAUUUCACGAGGAAUAACAGGGAUAUGAUAAUGUUUUGGCUAUUCUCUUCCGGAUAAGAGUAGACUAAUUUUGGGUGAAUCUGGAGAUGGAAAUGAGUGGAUGUAUGUGGAUGCGUAGUUCCAGAGUAGAAGUAGCAUGUAUGAGUGAACGUGCAAGUGAAUCUUGAUUUUAACCGCAUGACAAGCUCCUAAGGGUCUACACAGCUUGACCACACUCAACGCUCAUAAGUAGUAAAAAGUAAAUGUAUGGUUCCUAGUCUAAUAAGCAUGUAUAUAUGGCUGUGGUAUGGUUUUAAACUCUCAUCAUACAGGAACUCAUCAUGCAACAUUUUACAUAUUUUCAAAGAUAAAAUUCUCUAGAAUUCUAGCAUCUCUAGGAACAGAUAAACAGCAGCUU
This 1149-nucleotide long non-coding RNA is filed under the name Sorghum bicolor (sorghum). RNAcentral's name for it is "long non-coding RNA (SBIC_LNC002838)". The record is from RNAcentral. Lineage: Eukaryota; Viridiplantae; Streptophyta; Magnoliopsida; Poales; Poaceae.